Molecule: small RNA, 119 nt
Filed under: Marmota monax (woodchuck)
Lineage: Eukaryota; Metazoa; Chordata; Mammalia; Rodentia; Sciuridae
Source: RNAcentral
GCCGGGUGUGGUGGCGCAUGCCUGUAAUCCCAGCGGCUUGGGGGGCAGAGGCAGGAGGAUCACAAGUUCAAAGCCAGAAACAGUCAGGUGCUAAGCCACUCAGUAAGACCCUGUUUCUA